RNAcentral lists this ribosomal RNA (357 nucleotides) under uncultured fungus. Its description in RNAcentral is "SSU rRNA". It matches the Rfam family "Eukaryotic small subunit ribosomal RNA", at positions 1 to 376 of the family's 1831-position model. The record is from RNAcentral. Lineage: Eukaryota; Fungi.
UGCCCUUGUAGUCAUAUGCUUGUCUCAAAGAUUAAGCCAUGCAUGUCUAAGUAUACGCAAAUUAUACUGUGAAACUGCGAAUGGCUCAUUAAAUCAGUUAUAGUUUAUUUGAUGUUUCUUGCUACAUGGAUAACUGUGGUAAUUCUAGAGCUAAUACAUGCGUAAAAAGCCCCGACUUCUGGAAGGGGUGUAUUUAUUAGAUAAAAACCAUCCUCCUCGGAGUUUGGUGAUUCAUAAUAACUUCUCGAAUCGCACGGCCUUGUGCUGGCGAUGCUUCAUUCAAAUAUCUGCCCUAUCAACUGUCGAUGGUAGGAUAGAGGCCUACCAUGGUUGCAACGGGUAACGGGGAAUAAGGGC